RNAcentral lists this ribosomal RNA (301 nucleotides) under uncultured bacterium. RNAcentral describes it as "partial 16S ribosomal RNA". It matches the Rfam family "Bacterial small subunit ribosomal RNA", at positions 509 to 808 of the family's 1533-position model. The record is from RNAcentral.
CAGUCGCCACGGUAAUACGUUGGUGGCAAGCGUUGUCCGGAAUUAUUGGGCGUAAAGCGCGCGCAGGCGGAUCAGUUAGUCUGUCUUAAAAGUUCGGGGCUUAACCCCGUGAUGGGAUGGAAACUGCUGAUCUAGAGUAUCGGAGAGGAAAGUGGAAUUCCUAGUGUAGCGGUGAAAUGCGUAGAUAUUAGGAAGAACACCAGUGGCGAAGGCGACUUUCUGGACGAAAACUGACGCUGAGGAGCGAAAGCGUGGGGAGCGAACAGGAUUAGAUACCCCAGUAGUCCCUGUCUCUUAUACA